Molecule: unclassified non-coding RNA, 357 nt
Filed under: uncultured fungus
Lineage: Eukaryota; Fungi
Description: partial contains 5.8S ribosomal RNA and internal transcribed spacer 2
Rfam family: 5.8S ribosomal RNA (bases 1-133)
Source: RNAcentral
UGGCUCUCGCAUCGAUGAAGAACGCAGCGAAAUGCGAUAAGUAAUGUGAAUUGCAGAAUUCAGUGAAUCAUCGAAUCUUUGAACGCACCUUGCGCUCCUUGGUAUUCCGAGGAGCAUGCCUGUUUGAGUGUCAUUAAAUUCUCAAACCUUUAUUUGUUUACAAAUGAAGGCUUUGGAUGUGGGAGUUGCUGGAUUCUUAUGAAUUCAGCUCUUCUUAAAUGUAUUAGUGGUUAUCGAUCCCAUUACUUGGUGUGAUAAUAUCUACGCCUUGCAAGAAAGAUCAUAUGUGACUGCUUUCAAACCGUCGCAAGACAACUUGAACCAUUUGACCUCAAAUCAGGUAGGACUACCCGCUGA